Molecule: ribosomal RNA, 492 nt
Filed under: uncultured bacterium
Lineage: Bacteria
Description: partial 16S ribosomal RNA
Rfam family: Bacterial small subunit ribosomal RNA
Source: RNAcentral
AGUGAACGCUGGCGGUAGGCCUAACACAUGCAAGUCGAACGGCAGCACAGUAAGAGCUUGCUCUUACGGGUGGCGCGUGGCGGACGGGUGAGGAAUACAUCGGAAUCUACUUUUUCGUGGGGGAUAACGUAGGGAAACUUACGCUAAUACCGCAUACGACCUACGGGUGAAAGCAGGGGAUCUUCGGACCUUGCGCGAUUGAAUGAGCCGAUGUCGGAUUAGUUAGUUGGCGGGGUAAAGGCCCACCAAGGCGACUAUCCGUAGCUGGUCUGAGAGGAUGAUCAGCCACACUGGAACUGAGACACGGUCCAGACUCCUACGGGAGGCAGCAGUGGGGAAUAUUGGGCAAUGGGCGCAAGCCUGAUCCAGCCAUACCGCGUGAGUGAAGAAGGCCUUCGGGUUGUAAAGCCCUUUUGUUGGGAAAGAAAAGCAGCAGGUUAAUACCCCGCUGUUCUGACGGUACCCAAAGAAUAAGCACCGGCUAACUUCGUG